ACGAACGCUGGCGGCGUGCUUAACACAUGCAAGUCGAGCGGUAAGGCCCUUUCGGGGGUACACGAGCGGCGAACGGGUGGGUAACACGUGGGUGACCUGCCCUCAGCUCUGGGAUAAGCCUGGGAAACUGGGUCUAAUACCGGAUAUGACCUUCCCUCGCAUGGGGGUUGGUGGAAAGUCUUUUCGGCUGGGGAUGGGCCCGCGGCCUAUCAGCUUGUUGGUGGGGUGAUGGCCUACCAAGGCGACGACGGGUAGCCGGCCUGAGAGGGCGACCGGCCACACUGGGACUGAGACACGGCCCAGACUCCUACGGGAGGCAGCAGUGGGGAAUAUUGCGCAAUGGGCGGAAGCCUGACGCAGCGACGCCGCGUGGGGGAUGACGGCCUUCGGGUUGUAAACCUCUUUCGACCUUGACGAAGCUUUUCGGAGUGACGGUAGGGGUAGAAGAAGCACCGGCCAACUACGUGCCAGCAGCCGCGGUAAUACGUAGGGUGCGAGCGUUGUCCGGAAUUAUUGGGCGUAAAGAGCUCGUAGGCGGUCUGUCACGUCGGUCGUGAAAACUUGGGGCUUAACCCUGAGCUUGCGGUCGAUACGGGCAUGACUUGAGUUCGGCAGGGGAGACUGGAAUUCCUGGUGUAGCGGUGAAAUGCGCAGAUAUCAGGAGGAACACCGGUGGCGAAGGCGGGUCUCUGGGCCGAUACUGACGCUGAGGAGCGAAAGCGUGGGGAGCGAACAGGAUUAGAUACCCUGGUAGUCCACGCCGUAAACGGUGGGCACUAGGUGUGGGGGCCAUUCCACGGUCUCUGUGCCGCAGCUAACGCAUUAAGUGCCCCGCCUGGGGAGCACGGCCGCAAGGCUAAAACUCAAAUGAAUUGACGGGG
Molecule: ribosomal RNA, 881 nt
Filed under: uncultured Pseudonocardia sp.
Lineage: Bacteria; Bacillati; Actinomycetota; Actinomycetes; Pseudonocardiales; Pseudonocardiaceae
Description: bacterial SSU rRNA
Rfam family: Bacterial small subunit ribosomal RNA
Source: RNAcentral